This 430-nucleotide ribosomal RNA is filed under the name uncultured bacterium. RNAcentral's name for it is "bacterial SSU rRNA". It matches the Rfam family "Bacterial small subunit ribosomal RNA", at positions 355 to 776 of the family's 1533-position model. The record is from RNAcentral.
UCGAGAAUCUUUCGCAAUGGGCGCAAGCCUGACGAAGCGACGCCGCGUGGGCGAUGAAGGCCUUCGGGUCGUAAAGCCCUGUCACGAGGGAUGAAAUGCGUGCGUGUGAAUAAUGCGUACGUUUGACAGUACCUCGAGAGGAAGCUCCGGCUAACUCCGUGCCAGCAGCCGCGGUAAUACGGGGGGAGCAAGCGUUGUUCGGAUUUACUGGGCGUAAAGGGCGUCUAGGCGGUAUGGAUAGUCGGAUGUGAAAUCCCUCGGCUUAACCGGGGAACUGCAUUCGAAACUUCCAAACUAGAGUACGGCAGAGGUAAGCGGAAUUCUCAGUGUAGCGGUGGAAUGCGUAGAUAUUGAGAAGAACACCAGUGGCGAAGGCAGCUUACCAGGCUGAUACUGACGCUGAAGCGCGAAAGCCAGGGGAGCGAACGGG